CACACACACCCAAGAGAGAAGCCACCAUCUUUUUAUAACCUAACCUGGAAUACCAUCACUUCUGCCAUAUGCUUGUGGUCUCACAGACCAACCCUGGUGCAGUGUGGGAUGGGAUUGCUCACAGGUGUGAAUUCCAGGGGCAGGGGCCAUUAGGGACCAUCUUAGGGAUACAUGAUCCAGCUGGUGUAAAUGUGAAUUAACAUCUAGGAGUCCAUGCUUGGAAGAUACGGAAUGUGGACCAAAUUGUGUAUUUCUAGUAGUAUUUAAAGUAAGGAAAAAACAAACCUAAAAGAUCCAACAAUGGAAAAUGAAUUUUGAUAUGUGUGUAAUGGUAUUUUAUGCAAUGGAAAAUGGUUAUAAAAAUGUUCAGUGUAAAAGAAUAGAUACUUGACUACAUAAACAAUGGUUCUGCUUUUGUAAAACACACAUACAUGCUCUACAAAGAAAAUUGGAAGUAAAAUGUCAAUGAUUGACAUUUGGAAUUAGAGUUUUAUUUUAAAUUCUUACUUAUACUUUCAUUUUUGUAUUUUGUGGUUUGUAUUACGUCUGCUUAAAUAAUCAGGAAAAAAUGCUAUUUUAAAAAGGAUAUUAAGCUAAAGGAUGGUCUUAAUGAGGUGAAUGUUUGUGUCCCCAACAAAAUUCAUAUGGUGAAGCCUAACCCACAGUGUGACGGCAUUACAAGGUUUGGUCUUUGGGAGGUAAUUAGGUUUGAGGUCUUGAGAGUGGAGCCUCCUAAGGGGAUUAGUGUUUUAUAAGAAGACUGAAGAGACCAGAGCCUUCCCAUCUCUCUUCACCUGAGUCUGUGGGCACCUUGAUCUAGGACUUCCCAGCUUCCAGAACUGCGAGGAAUAAAUACCUGUUGUUUUAGCUACCAGGGCUAUGGUAUUUUGUUAAAGUAGCCUGAACUAAGACAGAUGGAAACAGCCCAAGUGUCCAUCAACAGAUGAACUGAUAAUCAAAAUGUGGUCUACACUACAAUGGAAUAUUAUUCUGCCCUUAAAAGGAAUGGAAUUCCAGUACAUGCUAUGAGGAUGAACCUUGCAAACAUUCUGGCAAGUGAAAUACACCAAGCACAACAUGACAAGUGAUGUAUACUUCCUCUUACAUGAGAUACCUAGAGUGGGCAAAUUCAUGAGAGAAUAGAGACUACCAGUGCUGGGGAGAUGGGAAUGAUAUGGGCAUAGAGUUUGUGUUGGAGGGAAAUUCAUUUUCUGUUAAUUCUCUGCUGAGCACUUGACAGUGCUUUGUACCCAACAGGUUCACAAACAUGAUCUCAUUUAAUUAUCCCCAUUUUACAUUUCGAUAAUUAAUCAUACGGAUUUUGACAUGAGGGACUCACAAAAUGGAGGUCGGCCCCCGUCACAAACCCAAACCCAAGUCAGCUUGCAGAAAGGACAACCGAGAGGGAAACCUGUGCACCACCAGCAGGCCCGUAGCGGCCCCGUCCCGCAGCUCCGCGGCCUCGGGCUCACCUGCCCGGAGCGCGGGGCGCCAGCCGACCCCCGAGCCUGCUGCGAACGCUCUGCGGACGCGCCCCGGCCCGGCGUCCGCGCAUUGUGUGUCUGUAACAACGGCCGUCAAACUCGCGAAGCGCCUUUGUUUUGUCAUUUGACAGCUUGGGCGACAGGAGGGGACCGGAGGACAGCUGCCGACGGACCGCGGCCGCCCCACGCAGGCGAAGGCCCCGCGGCUCGCCGCGCCCGGCCGCUCCCCGGAUCUCAGGCGCGCUGCUCUUCGUAAGCCCGGCCCAGCGCGCACUGAGCCCUUGGAGUGCUUGUUCUAAUCCUCAGGGUGGAAACGGGCGCGUGAGAGGCUCCGGAUUUCUCACCGUGAAACGGACUGGGAGACACCUAUGAGACUGACCAAAGAACCUAGAAGAGAAGAAAAGUUUUCCAUCUGUACAGUCUGGAGCCCAACAUGGAUCCCUCCACGGGCUGGACACCACUGGCUCUGGGGCUGCUGCAGCUGAGAGCUCCUGGGGCCUCCAAGAAGAAUGGCAGAAGAUCUCCAACACAGCAUCGUAUCUGUGAAGGGCCUUGCCUGACAACCCCAUCUAUGACCCACUCCAGUUAUUCUUUGCUUCCUUCUGCUUGUCUGACACAGCACUCAGCCCCGCCUGACAGGACACUGCCCUCUGUGUCUGUUCACUGUCUCCAUAAGUUCCAAAGAGGUGGUUUUGUUCACUGCUGAAUUCCCAGUGCCAAAACAGUGCCUGCCACAUAGUAAGUGCUAAAUAACUACUUGUUUAAUAAAGUCAUGAAUGGUUUAAAAGGGGAAGAUGUUCCAUCUACCUCAAAUCUUUAAAGACUCCAAAAAAAAUCUAACUAGAUAUGAAUUACUUUAACCAGCAUCUUUAAUUUGGAAACCAAUUCAUUUGUACAAAAGUUGAAUAUAUCAUCUUUCCUAAAAGUCCACUGAAAAAACUUUCAAAAUUUUACUACAUAUAACAAAAUCAGUAACGAGGACAGACUUUCCUUAAAUACGGAUCUUUUUAAAAAUGAAAUAGGCCCCAAACCUAUCUCCAGUAAAAAACUCUUACCUUAAGAAGACCAAAUACUAAUCAGGAUAUGUGACCAGAAUAAAGAAUUUCUAAUACUCAGGUAUCAUUUGACCUGAGUUAAAUUUAAUCACAUUUCCUCACUAGUCAGAGAAUUAGAUGGGAUGAAACAAGAAAUAACUAGGCAAAAUAUCAGGACCAAGGUAACCCGCUGGUGGCUGUCAGAGGCCCC
This is a non-coding RNA of Manis javanica (Malayan pangolin), 2729 nucleotides long. The record is from RefSeq and is a predicted model, not a curated record. Lineage: Eukaryota; Metazoa; Chordata; Mammalia; Pholidota; Manidae.